This 264-nucleotide unclassified non-coding RNA is filed under the name Russula sp. RNAcentral's name for it is "partial contains small subunit ribosomal RNA, internal transcribed spacer 1, and 5.8S ribosomal RNA". The stretch from base 1 to 46 matches the Rfam family "Eukaryotic small subunit ribosomal RNA", at positions 1786 to 1831 of the family's 1831-position model. Lineage: Eukaryota; Fungi; Basidiomycota; Agaricomycetes; Russulales; Russulaceae. The record is from RNAcentral.
AAGUCGUAACAAGGUUUCCGUAGGUGAACCUGCGGAAGGAUCAUUAUCGUACAACUGAGGUGCAAGGGCUGUCGCUGACCUUCAAGGGUCGUGCACGCCCAAGCUCUCUCACACAUCCAUCUUACCCCUUUGUGCAUCACCGCGUGGGCCCCCUUUGCAGGAGGGCUUGCGUUUUCACAUAAAACUUGAUACAGUGUAGAAUGUUUUUUCUUUUGCGGUCACACGCAAUCAAUACAACUUUCAACAACGGAUCUCUUGGCUCUC